Molecule: ribosomal RNA, 817 nt
Filed under: uncultured marine bacterium
Lineage: Bacteria
Description: bacterial SSU rRNA
Rfam family: Bacterial small subunit ribosomal RNA
Source: RNAcentral
CUAUACAUGCACGUCGAACGAAGUAGCAAUACUUAGUGGCAGACGGGUGAGUAACAUGUAGGUAUCUUCCCAUUGGUAAGGAAUAACACGAGGAAACUUGUGCUAAUACCUCAUAAGUCUUUACGGAGAAAGCUUUAUGCGCCGAUGGAUGAGCCUGCACUUGAUUAGUUUGUUGGUAGGGUAAUGGCCUACCAAGACAAUGAUCAAUAGCUGAUUUGAGAGGAUGAUCAGCCACAUUGGGACUGAGACACGGCCCAAACUCCUACGGGAGGCAGCAGUAGGGAAUCUUGCACAAUGGGGGAAACCCUGAUGCAGCGAUGCCGCGUGAGUGAAGAAGGCCUUUGGGUUGUAAAGCUCUUUCGUCGGGGAAGAAAAUGACUGUACCCGAAUAAGAAGGUCCGGCUAACUUCGUGCCAGCAGCCGCGGUAAUACGAAGGGACCUAGCGUAGUUCGGAAUUACUGGGCUUAAAGAGUUCGUAGGUGGUUAAAAAAGUUGGUGGUGAAAUCCCAGAGCUUAACUCUGGAACUGCCAUCAAAACUUUUUAGCUAGAGUAUGAUAGAGGAAAGCAGAAUUUCUAGUGUAGAGGUGAAAUUCGUAGAUAUUAGAAAGAAUACCGAUUGCGAAGGCAGCUUUCUGGAUCAUUACUGACACUGAGGAACGAAAGCAUGGGUAGCGAAGAGGAUUAGAUACCCUCGUAGUCCAUGCCGUAAACGAUGUGUGUUAGACGUUGGAAAUUUAUUUUCUGUGUCGCAGCGAAAGCAAUAAACACACCGCCUGGGGAGUACGACCGCAAGGUUAAAACUCAAAUGAAUUGAC